RNAcentral lists this ribosomal RNA (1586 nucleotides) under Hoplobatrachus tigerinus (Indus valley bullfrog). RNAcentral's name for it is "16S ribosomal RNA". It matches the Rfam family "Bacterial large subunit ribosomal RNA". Lineage: Eukaryota; Metazoa; Chordata; Amphibia; Anura; Dicroglossidae. The record is from RNAcentral.
ACCUUAAAUCAAGCCUAACAAUUACUGUACAUAAAACUAUUACAUUUCUACAACUAAAUAAAACAUUUUCUUACUUUUUAGUAGAGGUGAUCAAAAAAUUUCUAAGCGCUUUAUAUCAAGUACCGCAAGGGAAUGAUGAAAUAGCUAUGAAAUAGCCCCAAAGUACUAAACAGCAGAGAUUCCACUCGUACCUUUUGCAUCAUGGUUUAGCCAGUCCUAAUCAAGCAAAGCGAAACAUUAGUUUGAUAUCCCGAAACUAGGCGAGCUACUUCGAAACAGCUUAAUAGAGCCAACCCGUCUCUGUUGCAAAAGAGUGGGAUGAUUUCCAAGUAGAAGUGAAAAGCCUACCGAGCCUAGAGAUAGCUGGUUAUUCAAGAAAAGAAUUUUAGUUCUCCCUUAAGCUUUAAUAUGAAAUUAAACAACACAUCAAGCUUAAGAGUUAUUCAAUUAAGGCACAGCUUAUUUGAAAAAGAACACAGUCUUUAACCAAGGGUAAGUAACAAAAUUCAUGUCAAGUGGGCCUGAAAGCAGCCACCUUUAAGAAAGCGUUAAAGCUCCCCAUAAUCUUCACUAUUAAAUACCAAUGUUUACAUCGAACCCUUCAUCAAUACUGAAUGACCCUAUAAAUUAUAGGAGACAUAAUGCUAGAACUAGUAACAAGAAAUUGACUUUCUCCGAAAUGCAAGUGUACGCCAAAACGGACCCACCAUUGGCAUUUACCGUGUUUGACCCUAAUAUAGUAACGCCCCUAGAAAAACCUAUUGUUCUUCACGUUAACCUAACACAAGAGCAUUACCGGAAAGAUUAAAAGAGAAAGAAGGAACUCGGCAAAUUAAGCCCCGCCUGUUUACCAAAAACAUCGCCUCUUGAUAAGAUAUAAGAGGUCCAGCCUGCCCAGUGACAUAGUUAAACGGCCGCGGUACCCUGACCGUGCGAAGGUAGCAUAAUCACUUGUUCCUUAAAUAGGGACUUGUAUGAAAGGCAUCACGAGGGCUUUACUGUCUCCUUUCUCCAAUCAGUGAAACUGAUCUCCCCGUGAAGAAGCGGGGAUACAAUUAUAAGACGAGAAGACCCCAUGGAGCUUUAAACCCAACGACACCCCUCAACCCCAUAAUCCUUUAUAGUUGCUACAGCCCUGUUCGUUGGUUUUAGGUUGGGGUGACCGCGGAGCAUAAAAUACCCUCCACGACGAAUGGGACUACCCCCUUACCCAAGAGCUACUCCUCUAAGGAUCAAUAAAUUGACGUAAAAUGAUCCAAGUAAUUGAUCAACGGACCAAGUUACCCUGGGGAUAACAGCGCAAUCCAUUUCAAGAGCCCCUAUCGACAAAUGGGUUUACGACCUCGAUGUUGGAUCAGGGUAUCCAAGUGGUGCAGCCGCUACUAAUGGUUUGUUUGUUCAACAAUUAAAACCCUACGUGAUCUGAGUUCAGACCGGAGCAAUCCAGGUCGGUUUCUAUCUAUAAAGUGUUACUCUUAGUACGAAAGGAUUAGAGUAACGUGGCCAAUAUAUAAACAAGCCACAGCCCACGACUAAUGAAAAAAACUUAAUUAGCCUCAGCCUAUUACUUCUUCUUAGACCAAGAU